GGUGCCUUCUUGGGACUGCCGACACA
This 26-nucleotide unclassified non-coding RNA is filed under the name Mus musculus (house mouse). RNAcentral's name for it is "oocyte_clustered_small_RNA4063". Lineage: Eukaryota; Metazoa; Chordata; Mammalia; Rodentia; Muridae. The record is from RNAcentral.